UCAUGUGCGAGGCCCUUCAGUGUGUGUGUUCGUCUCUGUGCUGUCCCUGCGUCCGCUGCUAAUUUCACGUGAGCGAUAGACCCAUCGAGGAGAGAGACGGUGACUGCGGGAAAAACACCUUGUACGGGUAAAACGUCUCGUCCACCCAGAGGUCGAGAAAGAAACUAGAAUCCAGGAACGUCACCGAGGGAUUUACGGAGCACCCCGAGACGCGGGGGCUCGCAGGUUGUACCGCUCACACUGUCCCUUCCGUUUACCACCGAACAAGAGACCCUGUUUGUUAAGAGUUAAUUUUUCAGGAACGGCAGAGUUAUGGUUCCGCAGGCGGAAGUUGCGCGAAGCUAACAGGCAAAACCGAAAACGAGGCGAGAUCGAGAGUUGAGCAGAGGAGGCAUCACGGGCCUGAGGCGGCGGCCAGCCGCUACCGGAGACGAGCCGAUAUCAGUUCCCGGGAAAGUCGAGAAUUGCCUGCCGAAUUCGGGCCUCGCGCGCUAUCGACGUCAGAAGCGCAGAACGAUAGAAUAAUUAGCGCACCGCCAGGAUCUAACCGCCUGAUAACAGCCAAUGCGGAAGCGGCAGCGGCGAUAAGUGAGGCGCGACACCGGGAGCCUCCCGCAGGAUCGAGGAUCGAUGCUCACUUGUGCUGUAAGCGUGCCCCGAGCCGGAAACUGGUGCCGAAGACUCUACGGCCAACUCCCGGAGAAGACGCAGAGAGAGGUUCCGUGCCGCGCCCAAGGGUGAGAAGAGCGUCACGAACGAAUUGUAAAGUCACCGAUUUCGCGAUCGAAGGCGGGUGGCGUCGCGACUGACAGAAUUAAGUGGAGUUCGCUCCAUAACUGUCUCGUAUUCGCGUGCGAUGUUGUAACGCCGUUAACGCAUUCGUUGUCGCAGCCGCGACGUCGCUCACCCGAUCCCGCCGCAUUAACGCAGUUUCUUUAGUUCCGGUAUUCGCGCCUGUAUCGCCACAGCCAAGCCGUCGUUGUAUCGUAAGUUCGUGUAAGUGUGCGUGUGUGAGUCUUGUCUGAUUUUGAGGGUUGAGCGUAGCUUGGUCACGGUAGUAGCGGUGAGAGACAUCACGAGACCCUUCGACUAGCGUGUGCACCUUCUCCCGUGGCGAUCACCUUGCCAAAGAGAUUAAACGUUACGCUGGUGACUGUCCCGCGAUGCCGUGCGAUUACUGAGUCGCUUCGAGUAACAUUCCGCGAAUUUGUGCCGCAUUCCGCACGCGGAUGGACCGCGUGCGAGGUCUUGUAGUCUACUAACCCGACAAUUCGAAAUACACGUUGUUAUUUUCUCUUUGUUAAUUCUCGUCUCAUUAUUCUGCGAUUCUCCUUCGCUCUCUCUAUCACCACCUGCCCGCACCAAUACCCCCCCUCCGCCUCUACUGACUUAGCGGAAAGCUGCCGGACGGUUGUAUCGUCCCCGCUUAUGGCAAUUAGCGCUAGCCUAACCUUGAAAAAUUAGUAAACCGAAAGAGAGGCACGCUUUCUCGUGCCUGGCGCCCAAUUCUGUACGCUAAGAAUUAUUUGGAAGAAAUAAAGAUCGCGGUCCGGAGAUAAGCCGUGAGCGGGCGACUCAGACUUGUGUUAGGUGCAUAAAAACCACCGUUACAGUAUACACGCACUGUCGAAAGCAAGAUAAAUUAAUAGAAAGUUAUGAGUUAGUACGCGUAUCAAGUGCUCGGUGUAAACUAGGCCUAUAUAGCGCUAUAGUCGAGAUUGUGAAGUUAGCUCGAGUUUUUAUUCGAGAUUUUCAUCAGAGUUCCUUUUGUCCACGAUUCGAGUUUUAAUAACUUUUUCUCGGAUCGAAAACUCGGACCGAUUUCUAGCAUCGUGUACACAAGGCUUAAGACAAGGGAGUGAAACCUACAUAUGAAAAGUGGAAACAGAUAUGUGCAAGCGAAAACGGGGAUAAAUGCAUCCGCGCGCAUGACGUCAUGCAGUGGUGGGACUAUUUCCACUACGGCAUAAUGCUAUUUUUUAAUCAUCAUUUUGAGUGUAGCAAAGUGUAAAAAGCAUGUGAUUAGGAUUGUUAAUGCAAUUCUUCAUUUGCAAUACAUAUUUUAUACAAUUAAGAUUUUGAUUAUCCAAGUUUUUUGUUUCCUAUCCAAACGAACAAACUUUAGACUGAGUUUCUGUAGGAAGCCAAAUCAUUCAAGAUAAAAUUGUAUUACUGAAGCCGGACCGAACAGUACAGUGCGCGUCAAUAAGUCGCUGGGUCAUAGUAGGUAGCUUGAUUUACCGACACUGAGUCGAUAACAAUGUACGCCCGCGCGUGUGCGUUUAUUUAGAAGGGACAUAAAUAAUAAAUAUUUGGCACAAAGAAUAUAUGUUACUGAUUCUCUUAGUUAUCCAUGAGACAUAAGAGAACUAAAGAACAACUGGUUGCACAUGCCAAGAACUCGGAAAAUUUGAAGCAUAAAUCUCAAUAUUUUGUACGUUUAAACGAUUCGGUAGAAAGGCGAUUACAGCAAGUGAUUGCACGGGAAGGAUACUGGACCGACUAUUAGCUGGUGCCAGUAUUAUUUCAAACGGUUCUUUUCAGAACCACCAAAUUAUUUAACGGUGUAACAUUUAUCAAAAAUGCAAAAUUUAAUUAAAAAAAAAUAUAUUAAAAAACCAAUAUAUUUUUAAUUUUAAUAAAUAACUUAUUCUUUUAUCUUUUCUAUCUUUUCAUACACGUUUAUCUUUGUUGUUAUGUAUAUCUUUGUCUGUGCAAAAAUAACAUAAUACUGAAUCAAAUUUAUACGGAUAGAUCUACAAGCGGUGUAAACAUAACGUAACAGAAAUUAUUCUACGUGCAUUUCGGCGUUAACAAUUUUGCGUAUGUAAUUAUAUGAAUACAUUAUUGUUUAUACGCAAUAGAAAAAAACAUAAUUACAUUAAACUAAAUAAAUUAAUAUUUAAAAUUGAAAACAAAGUAUCAAUGUCGUGUGUUAAAUUUUAAUUUUACUAUUUAUUUUAUUAUACAGCUCAACAUGUAGACAUUUUAACAUAAAAAAUAAAAAUAUUUAACCUAAAUUAGACUAAGAAGAAAGAAGAGGAUAACUAAGAGAAUCAGUAACGUAUAUUCUCCGUGCCAAAUAUUUAUUAUUUAUAUCUCUUUCGAAUAAAACGCGCACGCGCGUUUAUCGUUAUCAACUCAGUGUCGAUAAGUCAAGCUAUCUACUAUGACCCAGCGAAUUAUUGACGCGCACUGUACACCCCAUGGUAGAAAGACAAGGGUAUGCUCUUCCGGGGUUCGAGCCUUAAGACUUCUCUGCGCAUCACGUGAUGUAUCAAGCUGACGUCACAUUCGCGCGAAAAUUGAACGAACGCUUCGACUCUAUAAGUCGAUAACAUGUGGCUGUCCGCUAUCGAAAGUGUGAUCAUGCGUGAUACAUAUGACAUAUGACAUGUGUUAUUGUCGAAAAAUCAAGGAGCAGGUACGAAUAACGUUGUAGAGUUACUGUCGGAAAGCAUUAAUACUUUUCGGAAAAAAUGUAUUGUGCAAUAAAAGGUUGCACUAAUUCAUACAGGAAAACUAAAAAAGAAGGUUUAGUGAUUAAAUAUUUUUCAUUUCCGAAAAAUGCACCGUUUGCUGAGGAGUGGCGUAAAGUAUGCAGAGAUGGAAUAAAUGUUACGACCGGUAAGAUGACAUUGAUUUACAUUAACACAUUAAAAAUCCAAGGAGAACAGAAAAGUAAAUAAUGUCAAUUUGAAUAAUGUAAAAUUAAUUAAACUUAAUUUUUCAUCAUGAUUUGACCAAAAAAUAACAAAUUUGAUCUAAUUGACAUUAUUUUUAUUUUUCUAUGUUUUUUUUGGGAAAUUAAUUGCUCAAUCGUUCAGAUUAAUUUAUGAAAUAUAAGUAUUUGUUUACUUAACAGUUUAUAUGUAACAUAAUAUUUCAAAAUGUAGAAUUUAUAGCGUUUUAAUAUUUUUAGUACAAUAAGUUGUAUCAUAAGAAAUAUGCAUAAAAGAAAAAAGAAAAAAAAA
Long non-coding RNA from Solenopsis invicta (red fire ant), 3974 nucleotides. RefSeq lists it as uncharacterized. The record is from RefSeq and is a predicted model, not a curated record. The transcript is spliced from 2 exons. Lineage: Eukaryota; Metazoa; Arthropoda; Insecta; Hymenoptera; Formicidae.